Cervus elaphus (red deer) is the source of this 1169-nucleotide long non-coding RNA. RefSeq lists it as uncharacterized. Lineage: Eukaryota; Metazoa; Chordata; Mammalia; Artiodactyla; Cervidae. The record is from RefSeq and is a predicted model, not a curated record. The transcript has 2 exons.
ACAACCUUCUCCUGUUAAUAUCCGGUAGGGACGUGCCCUCCUGCCACUUCCCUGAGGUCCACAGGCCUGUUUCUGAGCCCGUGACUCCCCCAAGGCUCGGGGGACAAACGACACUUGGGGAGGCCCCCGUCACUCCUGCCCCCAGCCCUCCUAGGUGUGUGGAGUGUCCGACCCCACCCCAGGGAAGCCUCCCGUCUCCUCCCGACCUGCCCGUGUGGCUGGUGUCGCUCCCGAAGGCUGGGUGCUCAGCGUCCCCCUUCCUGCCACACGCUCCUCGAAGCCCUCGGGCCAGGCCCCUGCCCUCCACGCGGCCGGCAGAAGAGCACGUCUCGGUUUCAGCUACACCUGCCAGCUUCCAGAAGCUUAAAACAGGAGUGAGGGGCUCACCAGGCAGAGGCCGUGCGGCUCUGCACGGUGCCUCCCACCUCUGCCCUGCUCCUUCCGCUUGCAUCACACCAUCCAGACAGGCUGGCGUCUGUCUGCUCUAAGCUGUUCCUCGUGGGCGACCACGCGCCUGCGGGGAGUGGGGCCCGUUCGGCGGGCGCGUCCCUGCCCCCUGGCCCUGCCGGCCCCCUCAGAGCCGCAGUUCUCCAGGCGUCAGCAGCCACUGUGACUCGGAGGGACUCCACGCCCCUCCUCAUCCAUGUUCCAUUUAAUCGAGGGCAUCUUACAUGAGAGGGGCUGCGUCCCUGCAACACGGUGUCCUCCAGGCCCUCGGUGUCCGACACCCUCGUUCCUGCCGGCCGCAGCCAGCACUGGCCCUCCAGCAGGACGGUGUGCCCCCAGGACGAGGCACCAUGUUCAAGCUCCUCACAAAGCCCCACCCCCGACACCAGGGCUCCACUCUGGCUUCUCUGUCAGCUGGCUUUAAAAAGCAUGAAAAUGUACGCAGUGUUUCAAAGGCGUGUGUCAGGACCUCCUAGGAUGGCAGCCUCGCGUGUGGCACUGAAGCCCAGGGCCGGGUUGGAGCCCAGCCGAGCGGGUGCAGAGCCCGGGGUGGCAGAGCCGUUGGGCCACGGAGCACAGCUCGCUGCUGAGCAAACUCCCACACGACCCAGAGGCGGUGAAUCAUUAGCAUGUGGUAAAGCACCUUUUAUGGCGUUUUGAUUGACAGUGAGCACCAGCUGGAUAAAAGAUUAUCAGGUGCACUAAAAGGUGUAAUUACUUGA